UACGUAGGGGGCAAGCGUUAUCCGGAUUUACUGGGUGUAAAGGGGGCGCAGACGGCAAUGCAAGCCAGGAGUGAAAGCCCGGGGCCCAACCCCGGGACUGCUCUUGGAACUGCAUGGCUGGAGUACAGGAGGGGCAGGCGGAAUUCCUAGUGUAGCGGUGAAAUGCGUAGAUAUUAGGAGGAACACCGGUGGCGAAGGCGGCCUGCUGGACUGCAACUGACGUUGAGGCCCGAAAGCGUGGGGAGCAAACAGG
Molecule: ribosomal RNA, 253 nt
Filed under: uncultured bacterium
Lineage: Bacteria
Description: partial 16S ribosomal RNA
Rfam family: Bacterial small subunit ribosomal RNA
Source: RNAcentral